GUCGAGAAUCUUUCACAAUGGGGGCAACCCUGAUGGAGCGACGCCGCGUGGAGGAUAAGGUCUUCGGAUUGUAAACUCCUGUCAUGCGUGAACAAGGUUGCUUGGUUAAUACCUGGGCAAAUUGAUGGUAACGCAAGAGGAAGAGACGGCUAACUCUGUGCCAGCAGCCGCGGUAAUACAGAGGUCUCAAGCGUUGUUCGGAAUCACUGGGCGUAAAGGGUGCGUAGGUGGCGUGGUAAGUCAGAUGUGAAAGCCCGGGGCUCAACCUCGGAACUGCAUCCGAUACUGCAAUGCUAGAGUACUGGAGGGGUGACUAGAAUUCUCGGUGUAGCAGUGAAAUGCGUAGAUAUCGAGAGGAAUACCAAAGGCGUAGGCAGGUCACUGGACAGUUACUGACACUGAGGCACGAAGGCCAGGGGAGCGAACGGGAUUAGAAACCCCUGUAGUCC
Molecule: ribosomal RNA, 449 nt
Filed under: uncultured bacterium
Lineage: Bacteria
Description: partial 16S ribosomal RNA
Rfam family: Bacterial small subunit ribosomal RNA
Source: RNAcentral